This 496-nucleotide ribosomal RNA is filed under the name uncultured bacterium. RNAcentral's name for it is "partial 16S ribosomal RNA". It matches the Rfam family "Bacterial small subunit ribosomal RNA", at positions 29 to 507 of the family's 1533-position model. The record is from RNAcentral.
ACGAACGCUGGCGGCGUGCCUAAUACAUGCACGUUGAGCGCUGAAGGUUGGUACUUGUCCCGACUGGAUGAGCAGCGAACGGGUGAGUAACGCGUGGGGAAUCUGCCUUUGAGCGGGGGACAACAUUUGGAAACGAAUGCUAAUACCGCAUAAAAACUUUAAACACAAGUUUUAAGUUUGAAAGAUGCAAUUGCAUCACUCAAAGAUGAUCCCGCGUUGUAUUAGCUAGUUGGUGAGGUAAAGGCUCACCAAGGCGAUGAUACAUAGCCGACCUGAGAGGGUGAUCGGCCACAUUGGGACUGAGACACGGCCCAAACUCCUACGGGAGGCAGCAGUAGGGAAUCUUCGGCAAUGGACGAAAGUCUGACCGAGCAACGCCGCGGGAGUGAAGAAGGUUUUCGGAUCGUAAAACUCUGUUGGUAGAGAAGAACGUUGGUGAGAGUGGAAAGCUCAUCAAGUGACGGUAACUACCCAGAAAGGGACGGCUAACUACGUG